UGGGGAAUAUUGCGCAAUGGGCGAAAGCCUGACGCAGCGACGCCGCGUGUGGGAUGACGGCCUUCGGGUUGUAAACCACUGUCGCGAGGGACGAAAAAAUGACGGUACCUCGAAAGGAAGCACCGGCUAACUCUGUGCCAGCAGCCGCGGUAAUACAGAGGGUGCGAGCGUUGUCCGGAAUCACUGGGCGUAAAGGGCGCGUAGGUGGCCUGAUAAGUAGGGGGUGAAAUCUCGAGGCUCAACUUCGAGGCUGCCUCCUAAACUGCCAGGCUUGAGCAGAGUAGAGGCAGGUGGAAUUCCCGGUGUAGCGGUGGAAUGCGUAGAGAUCGGGAAGAACAUCGGUGGCGAAGGCGGCUCGCUGGGCUGUUGCUGACGCUGAGGCGCGAAAGCG
This 391-nucleotide ribosomal RNA is filed under the name uncultured bacterium. Its description in RNAcentral is "bacterial SSU rRNA". It matches the Rfam family "Bacterial small subunit ribosomal RNA", at positions 355 to 761 of the family's 1533-position model. The record is from RNAcentral.